Molecule: long non-coding RNA, 1397 nt
Organism: Lolium rigidum
Lineage: Eukaryota; Viridiplantae; Streptophyta; Magnoliopsida; Poales; Poaceae
Exons: 3
Source: RefSeq, a predicted model, not a curated record
GGGUUCAAAUAUAAUCGAACCAUCUUCACUUUUGUUGGAUAGUUCACUUCGGACAUAAUGGGAAGCUCAAUUUGCACACCGUGAAAAUUCAUUUCAUUUUUCUAUGAAACAAACUAAAUGGUAAUGGUGAGUUCACUUUUGUAAAAGUGAAGUUCACUCCGCAAAUAAAAUGAAGUUCAUUUGAACAAAAAUGCAUAUUGUCGAGGAGCUCAAUCUUGUUUUGAUGUAUAAAAGCAUUAUCUAGUAUUUCAUUUGCUCUUGACCAUCUACCACUGUCUACUAGUAUCCUUAUGCUACCUUUUUUGUUAUAUGUAAGGUACACCACUUGAUCAAGCCUACCAUGCUAUAUCCGGUAAUACUCCAUGGGGAAGUUUGUCUAUUUUCUCACGGGAGUUGCCUCAUCAACUAUUUUGUCGGCCAAACCACAAUGGGAGUUCACUUUCUUUCGGUGUGAAAGUUCAGCUUUAUAUAGUCGGUGUAUCUUCACAAAAUUCAUUUUCGGAAUGCUUUUGGAUACUCCAUUUUUGCUAUUUGUAAGCCUAUAAGAUCUGGGAGAGGUGGAAAAGCAGCGGAGUUUGGAUAAAACACAGGAAUGAAACAUUGCAGUUGUAUUAUACUAUUAUGGUUAAUAGAUUUCUGCAGUAGCAUGUCGCGCUGGUGGCGGUCAUGUCCUAAAAUUAUUGAAUGGGGCCCUGUGCUGCUGAUUCCCUGGCUGAUACCUUCUGUGAGCGGGUGCGUGCUCCUCCGACAGGUACGAUCUCUCCCACGCAAAAUGGCGCUCUAGAUUCUCUUGGAGGGUACCCACUAGUUAUAGUGAAGGGGGAGUUUCGGUGCUGUGAGGUGAAUUGUUCUUGUGAGACUCCAGUCCGUCAUGUGCCAUGAAGCUCAAUACUGAUUUUGGGGAAGUUCAGACUGUUGCGGCCUGAAGCCCACCGUGCAGGCAACAAGUCACCAGAGUUGAGCGCGAUGCUUUGUGUAGGAUUCUCACACUGAAUCCCAUGCAAAAGGUGUUGGCGAUCGAAACCAUCAGAGCAAGAAGGUGUUAUGGAUCAAUUCUGCUACUGGUGAGAAGCUAGCUUCCCUAUAUCAAUUGCUGAUUUUUGGACGUGGUGCAAGCCCAGAACUGCUUCCAGGUGGAGCAGCAUCUGCAUAGUUCGGAACUGCUACUCGGCGUGUACUAUUUGAUAUCUAUUUUAGAAAUUUUGUUUGCUAGCAUAUUAUUGUGCAGUGCUUGUGCGAGUGCUGACUAGUUUGCACUGCUUUGUAAAAUUGUGUGAGUAGUACAUGGAUGGUGAACUCACUUGUAUAUUGGGAAGUGCACUAAUUGUCUUCAUUCCAGGAAGUACACUCUGUGGGUUUGAACCGUGCAAAAAUAAUGGAAGUACACAUAUUUGGUA